Molecule: ribosomal RNA, 468 nt
Filed under: uncultured bacterium
Lineage: Bacteria
Description: partial 16S ribosomal RNA
Rfam family: Bacterial small subunit ribosomal RNA
Source: RNAcentral
GACGAACGCUGGCGGCGUGCUUAACACAUGCAAGUCGAACGGAAAGGCCCUGCUUUUGUGGGGUGCUCGAGUGGCGAACGGGUGAGUAACACGUGAGUAACCUGCCCUUGACUUUGGGAUAACUUCAGGAAACUGGGGCUAAUACCGGAUAGGAGCUCCUGCUGCAUGGUGGGGGAUGGAAAGUUUCGGCGGUUGGGGAUGGACUCGCGGCUUAUCAGCUUGUUGGUGGGGUAGUGGCUUACCAAGGCUUUGACGGGUAGCCGGCCUGAGAGGGGGACCGGCCACAUUGGGACUGAGAUACGGCCCAGACUCCUACGGGAGGCAGCAGUGGGGAAUAUUGCACAAUGGGCGGAAGCCUGAUGCAGCAACGCCGCGUGCGGGAUGACGGCCUUCGGGUUGUAAACCGCUUUCGCCUGUGACGAAGCGUGAGUGACGGUAAUGGGUAAAGAAGCACCGGCUAACUACGUG